AGAAUAAAUCCUAACCAUUUAAAUUUAAUCUUGGAUGACCGAGAUUCAUUCCCUGUUGUGCGUUUUUAACAUUUUUUGUAAUCUUAUAAUUCAUACAUAAUAUACGGUAGAGGGUAUAAUUGGGGCUACUGAUUUAUUCUCUCUCUUAAUUAGUUAUCUGUUUCCGAAAAUAAAGCCUCUUUAUGGGGAAAGAAAAUGUUAUCAAAGCAAAUGAAUAAUAAUAAAAUAUUUCAAAGAAAAUUCAAAGAUAAUCCCAUAUGAGAUCGUUUAAAAUGAGGGUAACUCGAAAAAUUGAGUUUUAAUUAUCAUUUGUUGUGCGAAUUAGUUGAGAGUAUGUAGAUGUAUAACUGUACGAAUUAUUUGUGUUUUAUGGGUAUGUGAUUAUGUACGAAUUAUUAUGUUUGAGCUAGUGCAUUAUUGUGUUUUAUGAAUGCAAAUAUUUUGUACGAAUUAUGUUGCUUGAGCUAGUGAAUUAUUGUGUUUUGUGAAUGUAAAUAUUAUGUACGAAUUAUGUGAUUUGAACUAGUGAACUAUUGUGUGUGGUGAAUGUAAAUAUUAUGCACGAAUUAUGUGGUUGAACUUGUGAAUUAUUGUAAUGCAUGUGUAUGUGCAUUUGGCAUACUGUUAUAAUUCGUACUUGUUCUUUAUGUGAAGCGUUAUAAUUCGUACACAAGCGAUAACAAUUAAUCUUUUUUUUUUUUUGUAUUAAUCAAAUUGGGUUGCAGAAAUACAGAAAUAGUCAAUUGUUGUGUUGAUUAAUUUGGGUUGUCCAUAAUUUCCGACGUGAAGAUUUCAAUUUGCUAAUUACCGUGUUUUAAUUUUGAUUUAGGUAUAGAGAGAAAAAGAUACACCCUUAAAUGUAAUCCCCACAAUUAAGGAAAACAUAUCUAUUAAAAGUUUAAAAUUACUUGUUUACCCACUAACACAAACUACCGAAAAAAUGGCUGCAUAAAGUAUUAAAAUGAUCCAGCCGUUCAUUCAUACAUAUCUAAUGGCCUAUAACAGUUCCUAUUUUAUAAUCUAACAUUAGUUUUUAUUUUAGCCUCACC
This 1049-nucleotide long non-coding RNA is filed under the name Salvia miltiorrhiza (redroot sage). Its description in RNAcentral is "long non-coding RNA (SMIL_LNC012707)". Lineage: Eukaryota; Viridiplantae; Streptophyta; Magnoliopsida; Lamiales; Lamiaceae. The record is from RNAcentral.